Molecule: small nucleolar RNA, 144 nt
Organism: Vombatus ursinus (common wombat)
Lineage: Eukaryota; Metazoa; Chordata; Mammalia; Diprotodontia; Vombatidae
Source: Ensembl
CCCACUUCUACCAAUGUAGUAGCCCUGGAAAAAAAGAAAGAAAGAAAGACAAAAACUUAAAGAGAAGUGCAAAGAACAAACCCUCUUUUGCAACCUACAACCCAUGGUUUUGUAUGAGUUGUGAUACAUACAAGAAGGGACAGU